AGGGAUCAUUACACAAUAAACAUAUGAAGGCUGCACCGCCAACAGGCGGCAAGGCUGGAGUAUUUUAUUACCCUUGUCUUUUGCGCACUUGUUGUUUCCUGGGCGGGUUCGCCCGCCUCCAGGACCACAUGAUAAACCUUUUUUAUGCAGUUGCAAUCAGCGUCAGUACAACAAAUGUAAAUCAUUUACAACUUUCAACAACGGAUCUCUUGGUUCUG
This 218-nucleotide unclassified non-coding RNA is filed under the name uncultured fungus. RNAcentral describes it as "partial contains 18S rRNA, ITS1, 5.8S rRNA, ITS2 and 28S rRNA". The record is from RNAcentral. Lineage: Eukaryota; Fungi.